CUCCUGCAUCUUUCCUGCAAACAAUGGAAGAGUAUGUGCGAGAAGCUCCACGUAUGUCAGUUCGCAAAGAUCAGGUACUUGGACACUUUUUUUUCAAUGAGUUCUGUACUGGAUCGGAAGAUCAGAGCAACAAAAAUAGCAUCAGAUAUCAUUGGUUAUUAUAAAUUAUAUAAACUGUCCAAAAUUAGCUUGUGGUUUUAUCCAGAAAGAGAUUUGUUGUGGUGGGAUAUCUUAAAUAUUGAAGCACUGUUUAUGCUUGGUCAUGCUAAAUUGAUGUUGACUUUUUCACAUGCUAAUGCAUUAUGAUAAACCUUUUAUCAAAUUAUACUUUCAUGAAUCAGAGACAAUGAUGCGAGUGUCAUAUCCUACAUAUCCAUAUUUGGUUAGUGAGUUUGCAGUUUAGCUAUUUCCUACCUUGCAACAAUUAUUCCUUGACAAUUUAAUCUUUAAUCAAGCAGGUUGAUAAUAAGAUUGGUGCGCCAAAGGAAGUCUUAGCUAUAGAGUAUAAAAAGGAACCAGAGGUGAAGGAGGAGCAGCCACCAUCACCACCUCCAUCUGAACCUGAAAAAGUUGAAGCACCUGCACCGAUUGUUGAUCCACCUGAUUUGUUGGUAAGUUUUAGAGCGUCUUCCUUCUAAUGUCAGGAUAUUAUUGCACUUUCCUGACUUGCUGCUCUUUUCUCUCCCUUUGUUUGCUAGGCCUUGGAUGAUCCUGUUCCAGCUGCUUCAGAACUAGAUGAGAAGAAUGCGCUGGCUCUGGCUAUUGUUCCAGUUGGUAAGUUUUUUCUAGUUGUCUGUCAUAGACUUACGUUCUGAAACAGGGCCCAGAGGGUAAAAUUCACCUUAAUUUUGGAUUUUGACAAAAAGAAAAAAAAAAGAAAAAAAAAGCAGCAUGUCUGCUGAUUUUUUUCCCUUUUUGUUCCGAGUUAUAUGCUGAAAAUGUUAGGAAAUUAUCAGUACUCAAAACAUUGGAAAAAAAAAGGAACUAAGAGCGUGGAGUAAGAUUUUGAAUGGACACUAUAUCAUUAGUUAGUUUGCGUCUGGAAAAAACGCUUAUGUUUUGUGUGGUUUCUGCUGUUGCAGCUGACCAGCCAAGUACGACUGCCCCAAUUCAAGCCAAUGGCACUACAGGAUGGGAACUGGCCCUUGUCAUGGCUCCAAGUUCAAAUGAAAGUGCUGCAGCUGCUAGCAAACUGGUACUUUCUGCUGCUGUUGUUUGUUCCAUUACUUAGAACAGUAUCAGUUGGAUAUUGACUAUUUUUUAUUUGCACAAAAUAAGUGGUUCUAAUGUGUACCGACUGACACUACCAUUCAUGUCAAUUAACCAGGCGGGAGGACUCGAUAAACUUACAUUAGACAGCCUGUAUGAUGAUGCAAUCAGACGAAGCAAUCAGCCUGUGAGCUAUAACCCAUGGGAAGCAGCUCCAAUGGCUGGUCCCACGAUGCAAACAACUGCACAUGAUCCUUUCUUUGCCUCGCAUGUAGUGGCUGCACCACCUUCAGUGCAGAUGGCUACAAUGGCCAAUCAACAACAGGCUUACAUGUUGCAGCAGCAGCAGAUGAUGAUGAUGAUGGGCCCACAACAACAACAGCCUUCAAAUCCGUUUGGCAAUCCUUAUGGAACCAGUAUGCAUCCCUAUGGCUCAGGUAUGCCACCCGUUCAAGCCUACAAUCCAUAUUCAGGGGGCCUCUUAUAGAUGCUUUACAUGUAAAAAACACAUUCUUUAUCUGGAAACAUGAGAAAGGAAGAAUACAGGGGAAUCGAUCAGCUUGACAUUUUGAGAUUGGGGAAGACCAGACAAUUGUGUACCAUAUGUUGUGUAUGUGCAGUAGUCAGUUAGAAUGAGAUUCUUCUUUAAUAAUUAGCGAGAAGGCUUUCGAUUAGUGAUUAUUUACAUUGAUGAAGGUUUUAGCAAUAAUGCUUUUCGGACUACUAUAGUUCAUCAACCUGCUCUGUUGUUGUUUACAAGAAUUAUCUCAUUAUUCUUUUCCUCGGUAAGGUUUACUCAUAGAUAUGAUAGAAAUGAUUUGUAAUCUUUGUGAUUAUCACCACAUUUAUGUAAUGAACAGACGUGAAGUUUGAUUUGUGGCUCUUGGAUUCUUCAGGGGUUCCUUAAGGAUGGCGUUCACUAUUGAUUUUUCACUUCUUAUUCAUUCAUUGUUUUACUUUCCUUGAACCUUCUUAAGUUGGUCACAGACGUUCUGGCAAUGACAUUUAAGAUUUCUAUGGAAUCAAUUCCGGUGACUUCUUGUUGCCGAGUUACUUAUUCUUUUGGAAAGGAAAUGUACGUGAGUUUUUGUCCAAGUCACAGAUGCACUCGCUGCUAAUGCCGGGCUGUUCUUAGAAGAAAGGGAAACUGAUGCUUGAAAAUUAUUCAUCUGACUAUUGCAGUCCAUUUGCUCCGUAGUGUGGAUAUAUCACGAGUUUAUUUAAUGCUAGAAAGAGACAGGUAUAUGUUGAGAUAGUUUGCAUAUCAUGUGAUCGGAAAAAGAGUCAAAAUUUAAUGCAGUAAGUGCUAAUUAGCAAUCUAAAACGACGGUCGUUGAAAUCAAUUAAAUUGUGUGGGUCAUUUUAAAUUUUCACUUCAUUUCGAAGAGUAAAUUUAUUCUUAUUUUCAAUUUUGUAGCCAUAUAAUUCUGAGAUAUUUUAUAAAUUUUUUAUGAUAGUAUAUAUUCAUCACUUGACUUUGCCUGCAACAAUUAUCUUUUUACAUUCAACAGCUAAGCUUUAUUCUAAAACCGCCACAUAAAUAGUUAAUUACAGUUAGUAACAGCUAUUGAACAGGGAAUAGAAAAAUCCCAGUCAGGUGUUCUAAUUGAUUUUUCACUGAGGAAGGCUAUUUAUGUAUCCAAAAUUAAAGCUAUUCUAUCCUAAAUUCUCUCUUCAUAUUGGAGGUUCUUUUAAACAAAGAAAACCAAAAUAAAAUUAAAAAUGAAAAUUAUAUUUUUAACUAACUGAAUCAAAUUGGUUUCGUUAAAAAACUAAAUAACACUUGAGCAGAAUACCAUUGAUUCAAUUCCAUUAUUUGGUUAAAAACAAAAUUUGCUCUUCCUACCAGACGGAGAAGGGAAAUAAUCUUCUUGAUAUUAUUUUCCAAAAUUUUCUUUUUUCCCCUAAUUUCAAUCUUAUUUUUAUUUCUUUUCAAAUCAAUCAUUAAACGAAUCAAAAUUGUGUUGUGACGUAGCGUCGUAAGAGAUAACCCAAAUUACAUAAAAUAUCCAGUCAAUAAUAAAUCAAUUAAUUAGAAUUACAUAGCUGCUGACGUGGCAGUUUGCAAGACGGACGCAGGUAGGAGUAAGCAAACCAAAAAAGCAAAAAAGAAAAAAAAAAAAAAAACAAUUAUUGCUCAAUCAGAAAUUCAGAAUUACGAACCAAGAGUUAAAAGUGAGAACCAAACCAAAAAGCCAAAAACAGUUUCAGCUUCAAAUGCCCAGUCCCUCUCCAAUGUUCUCUGUUCCAAAUCCUUCCAUUCCUCUAAAAUCCCCAUUUCAGUAGCACCAAAAAAACCACUAAAGUACACAAAACAUCACAAUAAUGUCUUGGCUUUUCAAGUCUUUCCAAUCCGACGAUCAAGAUUCCUCCUCAUCUUCACCAGAAAGUCCAACCAAUCGUGGCGAUGGUGUUAAAGAGGAUUUAUCAGUUAUCGGCGAGUCUAUCGGCCGCCAAUUGCGUGGCGUCGCCAAUUUUCUCGCUCCGCCGCCAUCUCCGCCGUCCAAUACUGAAGAUAAGUCUUCAUCACUUCCGUCUGAUUAUUUUUCUUCUUCAUCAACGUCACAGUCACAAGCUCUCCUUGGGAUCCGUAACGAUCUAGCAGAAAUUGGAGGUAGCUUGAAGAGUAGUCUGUCUCUACUGUCGAGUAACAAAGCUGUUAGUGAGAUCUCUAAGUUUACGUCCACUUUUUUGCCAUUCCAAAGUAACGAUAAUGAAGGAGAAGACGAGGAAGAAUACGAUGAUGAAGAAGAUGAUUAUGUGCCAGGGAUUACAGAGGAGGUUGUUGAUUUCGUUAAGGAAAUUUCUAUGAGGCCUGAGUGCUGGACUGAUUUUCCAUUGUUACUAGAAACCGGUAAUUGCUUCAAAUCUACUUUACCUAGCUGUAUAGAAUUAUUUAAUUUACUUUGCUUAUAAAUCAACUUGUUUUUGAUUUGUUUUCCUGGUUUAUUGCUGUUAAAUGGUAAAUUAGAUGAUAUGUGGAAUAUAGGGAUACCUUUGUGAUGGAUUUUAGAUAAGCUAGAAGUUAAAUUAGAGCAGAAUGUAAUGUUCCCCAAGUGUUAAUGAAUGCAAUUGAGGAUUUGGAUAAUGUUAGUCAGGAGGUAUGUUAUUGCGUUAUGGUGGAUAUGUGCCUCUUAUUGCUUUGGCAAGAUGGUUAAAUGGGCGAAGCUGCACCAUUUAGUGUUCAUGUUACUGAUGCAAUAUUCAACCUGUAUUGAAUUUCUCUUUUAAUAGGUACUGGUUUUGGAUAAAAAAAUUUUAGAAUAGCAUUUAAUAUGUCCAAGUCUUUGGAUUCCAAGCUCAUCAAGUCCUUUUAUUGUUGAGGGAAAAUAGUUUUAUCUUUUUCAUUUAUUGGAUAGGAAAGCAGCACCUUGGUGCUCCUAUGGUAUGUGAAGAGCAUGGAUUGCUACACACACACACAAACACACACACACACACACACACACAAUCCGACUUGUCAAUUAACUAUGUUUGCAUAUAUUAAUACUCUUUGGUCAUUAGAAAAUAGAGAAAAGUAAUCAAUGGCCUUGAAUCUUGGUGUAUUUUGUUGCAGAUUUCAAAAUGUCUGAUGCUCAGAGAGAACAUGCUUCAAUUGUAGAACAUUUGGUUCCUAGUUUGACAGCUCUUAGAGAUAACCUUCAUAGCCAUAUGGACGAUGGACGAUUUUGGAUGAUUUAUUUUAUAUUGUUGCUUCCAAGACUGAAUGAAAAUGACUCUGAGAUUCUAUCAACCCCCCAGGCAGGAUUUUUUGUGUUAUAUAUGCUUAUCUCAUUUUUUUUUAAUGCAUUCAUAUGUUUUUUCUUGUUUGUCUCUACAUGUUCUUGUACAACGAGGCCUAGAAACAAACUUUUAUUGGCCAUGAUAUACUGAAUCACUUGAAUCUGAUCAAGGUAUUGUCCUUUUUUUUGUAUAUACUUUUAUCUGAGGCAAAAGAAAAAUUUUGGCCGGAAAGGGGUGGACCAUUAAGUUUCUGUAACCAUGAUAUGAGAACAAUUGAAUUGUGGAAAUAUGCUAAUCUUCUCAGAAUUAGUAUUGCAACCCAUUGCAUUUGUAUGUUACAUGAUUGUUAUGAAGCUUACUGUAUAUGCUGUAUUCUAGAGAGCAUAAGCAAAUAUUGUUUUAGUUAAUUACAUCUAGCCAAGUGCAACUUAUACAGAGGAUGAAUGGGUUUUUGACUAUUGGGUUCAUAUGUAUGAUCAUGUCUUUGAAUGUUUGAGCAAUUUUCUUAGGCUUCCAAGUGCAUGAGAACCUAACUUUGUUCUUCGGGAACUUGGAAAGCUACUGACUCAUGACACCUCAGCUAGAGUCCUUCAACAUAUUGAAUUCAAGGAUUAUGGUGUUUGGGAACUUUGAAAGGAAAUGGAAAGGGAAGCAGAUGGAAUAGAGAGGAGAAUAGAAGAAUUGAGGGUGAGAUGACAAUAGCAGCUUAAAUAGCUGGCAGUGUUUUCAACUCCUUAGGACCUCAGUAAAUACUAAUCUAGUUGACUUACAAACUCUUUGAGAUGCGAAUGAAAUUAAAAUGCAUUAGUAGGAAGUUAAAUUUGAAUUGGAAUGCAAAUAAAGCUAUUAACUCAUGACGUCUCAGCUAAAGUCCUUCAACAUGUUGAUUUCAAGGAUUAUGAUAGUGAUCAGCAUAUUCCGAAUUGGUUUUGGCCUCUGCUUUGCAAUUCUGCUGUAUUUCCUUCUAUUGGAUUUUUCUCCUUUGUUAUUUCUAGUCAUCUUCAUUUUUCUUCUUCUGGAAUUGAUUGUGAUUGGAGCUUGCCGAUCCACUUUUAAUAUUAAGGUGCUUGGUAAGAUAAUUCUGAGAAUAGAUAUGUUUGGUUGAGUGGCUACCAUAACUUGGUUAUUGCAUCUUGAUUACCUCUGGGAAGGUGAAGAAGGGAGGGUUCCCAAAUUCAAAUUAUGGAAGUUUACUUUCUGUUUAGGUGUUUUGUUUUUCAGCAUUUUCUAUUGUUUAUGUUGGAAUUGAUGUUGGCAGUUCAUUUUUUGGUAGCUAGUAACAUGCUUCUGAGGUCUCCAACAUUUAUUUGCCACCAUGAAAAAAUUGUUGAAAAAAUUUAGAUUAGCUUUUUUGUGUGCCAAUCAUACCUAAUCGAUAUGGAAUCUUGGCUCUGUAAGCAAUUUGUUUCAGUUUUUCUUUUUCUUUUUUAAGAAUUUUAUAGACUUGCAAGUUCUGAAGUCUUACUGUCAUUUACUGGACUGUUGAUUGGGUUCUUCGUUUGAUUAUGUACCGUGCAACUAUAAAUUCAUUCCUUCAUAGGUCACAUAACAUAAGAUUAAGAAAUACGUAAUGUACCAUAAUGUUCCUUUGUGGAGUUGUACCUUUUGUUGAAUUAAUCUAAUGUGGUCUAAACUUGUUGACUUGCAUGCAGAUAAUUGAAACAAGAAGUAUUCUGCUGCAAAAGCUGCAAAACAAGAGAAAUGCAAAGGCAGAGGGUUCAGAGAAUUCUGUUACCCUUGAAUCAUCUCAAUGGGGCAGCAAAGUCACUGAAAGAAGAGAAGAGAAUAUCCCAUCUAGGGAAAACGAGGUCACUGACAUUGUAAAUGCAACUGAAGGGUUAGAAAUUGAUGAUGAAGAGAAUGCUGACCAGUGGUUAAAAGAGACGGAGAUUGAUACUGAAACAACAGUGUAUGGUCAGAAAAAGCUUGAACAUGAUGAGGACGUGUCAUUUAGCGAUCUGGAGGAUGAUAACGGUCUUUCAACUAGACUAUCCGGUUCGAAGCAAGCACAGGGUAUUAUUAGGACUCCUUCACCCACACCUAGUGGAUCUAGUGAUUGGGUCCAGUUGAAUGAGAGUUCUUCUGAGACUGGGGUUGGUCUGCAAAAGACAAGCCAGUCGAGUUCUCGGGAGAAAGAUUCAGAUGGUGAGUCUAAUGAUUGGCUUAAGGUUGAUGACUUUGACUAGAAAAUGCAAUGACCAUUUAUUAACCAUUUGUUGUAUAGUUUCUUCUUUUCUUUUUUUUUUCUGUGAUGGUUUCUGUACGCAUGGCAUUCAACCUGUUACAUAAUCAUAUGUUUAAACUAAUAAGACAAAAAGGGGUUUCAUAGUAUUCUGCUCUUAACUAUUGAAAGAAAAAUUAGAAAAUUAGUAGAACUUUUAAAUGAAAAAUAUAAUGAAAGCUUUAAAUGUUUAAAUGAACUAAUUAAUUACUAUUAUUUCCAUCAAUUCUGCAAUAUCAUAUGUUCAGUGUAUUCAUACUUCUGCUCAGAAAUCCAACACACAAUAGUGUGGUACGCAAAUUCUUUUUUUUUUUUUGGUUAACUGUGAAGAAUCCUUUCAGACCCAGGACAAGUAAUUGAUGGUAAUGCAAAAUUUUUCUCACAGGAAGGAUUUCAGAAAAGACAAGUAUUCGGAAAACUGAAAUAACCUCUGCUUCUGAAAAAUCAAACCCUGGAUUGGAUGCCAAUCACAAAAAAAAAAAAAGGGUUGAUAUAUAUAUAUAUAUAUAUAUAUAUAUAUAUAUAUAUAUAAAAUUUUCUGCAACGGAUUCUGAAUAACUGCUUUACUAAUAUCAAUCAUACACAAAAUCAUUUCCUAUAAUUAAGAGAAUGUCACAAAGACGGGUGUAUAUAUGAGCUUUUUUCCUAAUUAUUAGAACAUGCACGAACCUAACCCCAGUUUUUGUUUUUAGCUAAUUAGAGACGUAAAAUUAGUCCAAUGCGUAAGAUUGGUUUGAAAAUCUAAUAAGGUAUAUGAGAAAAAUAUGGAUGCACACCCAGAGUUAGGAUAUCUGUCGCAUAACUAUUCAGAAUUGUAACUCUUGCUUCGUUCAUUCUUUUCUUGUCUUUGUCUGUUCACUUUUGUCAUAACUCAAGAGUUCGUAUCAUGGUCGUUCCUAAGACAGUUUUUUACAUCCCCAACUAUAACGAAACCUUCAAGAUGCAAACGAAAUAAACCCUUGCAUUUUUUGCAAUUCAAAUCACUUUGACCACUACCUAAUGAGCUUUGGAUCAGUAGAAUUAGAAUAGUUUUGAAAGCUAUACAAUUGCAAGUUCAAAACCCUAAUCGGAGCCUAAUAAAUAAAAGAACAAUUAGGAUUUCCUUUUGGAACAGCUGCAUUGCCCAAAAGGAUAAUAUGAGUAUUAUGCAUAUAAAAAUAGCAAAAUAACUUGACCAGAUAGAAACUCAAAAUCAUAUAGUUAUGGAAACCUGAUUGAUUAACUUGUAAAUACAUACAAAUUCACAUAACUAUUAAUUAAGGCACAUAUAUGUAUCUCUAUCUAAAGGGGAAUGAACAUAAUGUCACAAUUUCCAAUGCUAGUUCACAUUUUCAAGCAAUUUUCUGCCUUCCAAAAUAUCAAGGUAUCCAACUGCUCCAACUAUCAGGACGGACUGGAGGUUUCGCAUUCUGAUCCAUGGGGCAAUUACCAUACACAUUGGUAAAGAAAGGCGAAUAGGCGCCUCUCCCUGGAGAUAUAGGAGGCAAAAGGCGGCUAGCCGAGCUACGAGGGAAACUUCCACAGAUUGAUAGCCUAACUGUUUCAGAAACCACUUGUCUUUGCAGCUUUGCAUAUGGAGGGCACCAUUCAGGCAUGUCAUCAUCAUGAUGGAAAAGAUUUUUUGGUAGCGCGACAGCAGUAUCAGCACUACUGCUAACUGGCACAUUACUUCUGUUAGAAUGUUGUUGUUCUGAACUUUGCGUCAUGAGCUGCGUAGGCUCAUUAAUUCUCAUGAAAAUUUCAGAUGUAAUUUUCUUACCAACAAUUUCAGUACUUACUGCCUUGUUUGCCGUAGUCAAUGAAAUGCCACGUGCAGCUUCAAAGUCAAACUCAGGAAGAUCAUCAUCAUCAGGAGCAAGUGGAGGUUCUUUUAUAGCAUUUCUGGAAGAAUUGGAACUAUCAAGAAACUUAGAAAUAUAGUUUGCCACUCACCUUUCUGACCUGUGAUCAGAUCCACAACAAAACUCAAUGGCAUGAAAAAAAAAAAAAAUUAAAAUCCCAGUAAUGCCAUGCCCUGUGAUCAGAUCCACAACAAAACUCAAUGGCAUGAAAAAAAAAAAAAAAUUAAAAUCCCAGUAAUGCCAUUUUUUAAUUCUUUGGAUAGGUAAUAUAUAUAAAAAUAAAAGACGCCCAAAAGGGCUAGCCAAGAAUCUAUAUUAGGAGCAUUAACCAAAGAAUUAUGCUAAAUUAUAUUAUGUCAUGGCUCCUGGUUCAGUGGAGAGACGCAGAAAACUUAGAAAUCUAGCUUUGACCAGAAAUUCCAUGAGUUCUACUAAAAAACUAUGAAAUCAAGAUUAGAGUGCAUCAAUGUGAGUACAAACAAUCAGAUUUGCAGUCUAGAGCAUCAUGGUGAAUAAAUAGAUAUAAUUUCAAACUCAGAGCAUUUCGUUUUGUUUGGAUAAGAAAAGAAAGGCAUUUGAUUAUGAAAAAAGCCAAUAAAAAUACAGCCAUCUAAAUCGUCCAAGGAAAUAUUUUCAGUAUUUGUGGCUAUAAAGGCCAUCAAGUUAAGGUUUUGUUACCAUUUCACGGUUUAAUUUUCCAUUCCAUCUCUUCAAUUCACUAUUAAACACAAAAAUUAAAAUAGCAGUAACACCAAAAACCAAGCAAUUUAGACUAUAAAUGCGAAAAAAACUGAUAAAGAAGACGAAGAAGAAAUAGAAUUGCUUGCCUCAAGAAUCAAAGUGAAGAAUUAGGAAUCAACAGGUCGCAUUGUCACACUUUAGAGUAGGGUCAGAAACGCCAGCUUCUCGGUCAUACAGUCGCGCUAAAGUUAACGAAGAGCUAACACGUGUUAUAUAUUUAUAUAGAAAAUGAAAAAUUACAAAAUGGUCACAAAGGUCUGCUAAAUACUAACUUUGCUCCCUUCAUAUUCCCUUUUAUUUAAUUGUAAUUUAGCCCUUUAUUGUAUCUUUCUCUUUUUUUUUUUUUUUUUUUUCUUUUUUUUUUCCUUCUCUUACGAGGAAAUCCCUUCAUAUUCCCAAUAUGUUUUUUUUUUUUUAAUAUAUGGUCAGAAAGACCACGGUUCAUCGGUUUAUCCACAAUUUUCUCAAAGCAAUCAAUAAAUGUGUUUCCUUCGUAAACUUCUCUUUUAGCUCUUGAAAUCUUAAUUUCAUUAUAGCUUAUGAAUCCUUAUGGUGAUGAAGAGAAUGAGAGGCAUUCCCAUUGUCGUUUCGUUUGGAAAUCUUGUUUAGAAUUUGUCUCGUCAUCGAAUUUGGCGUUUGGUCUUGGUCCCGGUUCGGCAGGAAACGAGUGUACAAGACUGGGCUUGGCCCAUUAUGACUAUGAAGCCCAUUUUAUGUACAUUAGGACACUUCAAAUUACCAUUCUGAAAGAACAUCGAUGAAUUAAUUGGAUUCGAAUCAGAAAUCUAAAUUUCAAAUUAAUUUCUGUUUAUAAUCUUGAUCACCCAUGCAUUAACUUGUACCAACCUUGACAAGGUUUAUUUUUUUUCUUUGAAUUUUGAGGUCAUAUAACAUAAAUGAUAGUUUCUUAAGGUUAAUAUGUGUUGAAUAGUUUGUUGUUGAUGAAAUUAAGAAAUGGACUAAGCAAAUUUUUUUUUUUUUUUUAAAAAAAUCUUGUAAUAAUACACAAUGCCUAUACAGAAUAAUCAAAAAAUUGUUCUCAAGUGACAAAGCAGAAAAGUGCUCUAUGAUAUAUAUAUUUUUUCCUUUUGAAAGUUGAAAAUAAUAAGAGAAAAUUGAAAUUCCACUUGUCAAUCUUUCCAACUCUCAACUCAGUGUUUAUUAAUUUUUUAUGGUGAGAUAUAAUUCAAGGCAAGAUAUGCAGUACUAUAUUUCCAACAACAAGUCAUUUGCACAUUUUGAGGGACCUAUUUUAUUAUUAAAUAUUUUAAUUUGCAGAAUAACAUUGAUCUAGCAUUUUAACGUAACUUUGCGUUCAUUUAAUAUUAUCAAAUAAUAAAAAAAUAUAUAAAAAUGUGUUUAUUUAUGUAAUUUUAAAAAUAAAGUAUUUGUGUCAAUAUUUAUGUAUUUGUUUAUCUUUUACCAUUUUAUGACUAUGUUUUAGGGUUGAGAAUCGCAUAAAAUAACAUCAUUCCACGGCCACGUGAUAGCCACGUGCAUUUACUGGACUACUCCAUGCUGGUUUAGAUUGACUUGCAGAUAUACUUUGUCCAAUUCAAAUGAUCCUCAAGGGACUGCAACCACCAGAUCACAAUCCAUGCACUCUACGAGAUUCGGAAAUUGGAUCUCUAGGCAAGUUGCAAUUGGAUUAUUAUUAUUUUUUUAACCAUUUGCUCUCCAAAUUUACUGAAUAUCACUUAUUCAAAAACUGCUCCCUUCCGAAUAUUUAAAAAGAUUCCAACAUCAAAGCAUUCAAAAUUAUUAUAUUAUUUAUAAUAUUAACAAAAUUGAUUUUUAAUUAAAAAAAAGAGAGCUCAUUUUUUUUUUUACCAAUUUAGAUAAAUGAGGCAAUCCAAUUUAUAUUAUAAAGUGGAAUUUUCUAAUGGAAUUGAUUUUGAGGAAUGCAUUUUAUGUACUUGAGUAGUUUCAUUUGCAGUAAAGUAAAUAACAUAAAACAAAAUAAUAUCGUGAACCAUUCCUUUCAGACAGAAGAUCUGAGCUUUUGGAUUUUGGCAAUAUAACAGGCUAUUGUAUACAGACAUCACACACGACAAAAACUAAUAAAUAUUAUCACGUUAAUGCGCAGAACAGAAGAAUUACGUGGUUAAAAAUUGUUGAAGGUUAUAUAUAUAUAUAUAUAUAUAUAUAUAUAUGUGUGUGUGUGUGUUAGAAUUUGAUCUAACUUCCAGGCAGAUAUUGGAUUUUCAGUUUUAUUUUGCUUGAAAUAUGGUUAAAAGUUCGAUUAAAGAAAAUUAAAAUUUCGGUGAUCGGUUAAAACUUAAUUUAACUAAAUUAAUCGACUCUCAAAACUACAUCAUUUUGAUUAAGUAGAAAAUAAAAUUAAAAAUUAAAAAUAUUUCAAUUUUUAUUUUGGUUAAAGUCAGUUAAUCAUAAAUUUCAGUUAAAUUCGAUCGGUUAAUUAAGUUUUAAUUUUCAUUAACUUUGGUUCGGUUAAGAAUCAAAAUUAAUUCGGUGAAAACAGUUCGGUUAAAAAAUUAAUUUAGUUAAAUUUGAUUAAGUAAAAAAAAAUUUGAUUAAUUUAUUCCAGUUAAAAAUUUUACUCAAAUUGACAAAAUUGGUGAAUGAGCAUCCUAAAUAAUAUUUUUUUGACUUACCUUCUUUUAAUUUUUUUUAGUUUAAAUAAAUUUAUAAAAUAAAUUAUCUUUAAUAGUUUAAUAUAAUGAAUUGUUUUUGGUUCAGAUAUUUCUUUUGUAUUAAUAACGAUGUAGUGGUGGUGGUGUUGGUGAUGGAGUGGUGUUUGAAGUGGUGGUGGUGGUAGUGGUGGAGUGGUGAUGGUGGUUGUGAUAGUGAUUGUGGUGGAGGUGGCGAUGGUGGAGUGAUGGUGGCGGUGUGAUUGGUGAUGGUAGUAUUUUAAUUACAUUACAUAUUUAUAAAUAAUAUAAAAAUAGAAUGGUGAUUAUAUUCUAUAAAUUUUAUCAAUUAUAUUAUCAAACAUAAUAAUAGUAAUAGAAUCUUAAAUACAUUCCAUUCCAUUACAUUUUUCAUUGCAUUAUACAUCCAACCAAAAAUAGCAUUAGUUUCCAUUUGAUUAUCCAAGUUUUUUCUUUUUUUAUUCAGUUUUAUAUAUUAAGUAUAUAUUUUAUGUUUUUGAAUUAUCUAAAAACUAUGUGCAAUAAUAAAAGGCCUAAUCAUUAAAAAAAUAUAGAUUUUUGAGUUUUUUUUUUUCAAAUUUGGUCAAUAUUUUUGACUUUAUCAAUUAAUAUAUUGUACUUACUUUUUAUCGUCAAUUUUAACUUUCGUCCUGAGUCCAAUUGAGUGUAGUCGAGUAAUAUAACUCCAAAAGCAAAAAAACUUACCUAACGGAUUUUGGGGUUACUGAUGGUGCAAAUUACUCGUCAAUGAUCCAUCAAGAGUCUAUUAAUUAUAAAAGCAUAUAAAAUUCUUUCAAACUUGUGAUGAGAUGAAAACAAAUUUGUCUCAACAACAUUAUUUUGCAACUUAGAGAUUCUAAAAAUAAGAAUGAAUAGUCGAAGAACACCCAUAUGGAUGUAAGCUGGCGUAUGGCGGGAUAAUUAACGGUCAAAUAAGCAACAAAUUAGCGUAUUCUAGACAAAGCCCGUAAUUGAUAAGAAAAAAUAAAUAUGAAAUAAUAAUUGACAAAAUUAAAAAUAUUGAUUAAAUUUACUAAAAAUGUCAAAAUUCAUACUUUUUUUUAUGAUUUACCAUAAUAAAAUCAUGUAUAUUAGCAUCAACAAUCAGUUUAAUAAAGAAUUGAAUUUGCAUUCCUGUUUAUUGAUUAUGAAUUAAUUUUUGACCAAAAAAAAAUAUUUUUAUUUAUUCACAAAUUUCUUCUUAUGAUAUAAAUAAUUAUUUUUUGAUUGAACUAAUUUAAUAUAAUUCAUAAACUUAACUCAUGAAAUCAUGUUUUUAUUAAAACGAGUAUUUAUAUAUUCAUCAGGAGAUUUUCUUUUCAUAGGAGAUUUCUGUAUAAAGUUUUUUAUUUUGUUUUUGAAUUUACAUACAUAUCAACAUAUCUUUUGCGCUGGACUGAAUGUGAUAUUUAGAUAAUUCCAAACUUUAUAGAUAAAAUUUAUCUGAAAUAUAAUUCAUUUCUAUCAAUCAAAUCGUCUGUAUUGCAGAAGGCAUAUCAAUUUAAUAUUAAAAGGAUAUUCUUUAACACAUAGUCCUUUCAAGUUAAAAAAAAAGAAAAGAAAGAAAGAAACCACUUACACGUUCAUACACAAAAAGCUUAAACUUAGGUGGAUAAAAGAUGCUCCAUGGCACUAGACAAAUUGAUUGAUAGUGAAUAUUUAGAGGGAUUGAGACACGUGUCAACGUAGAUAGAUAGAUAGAUAUUAUUAUCAUUGGUAUAGUCCCUGGAUGAAAAGGAAAGAAAGAAGACUAAUUUGAUAGAGAAAAGAGAAAGUGUUAAGAGAGAAAAGAGAAAGGGAGAGACCAAUCGCAUCAAAAUGAGGAAAGCAGAGAAUCACGGGAUUAGCAAAAGAACAAAUAAUACAGCUUCUCAAAUUGAUAUAUAGAUAAACCAUAGCCAUGCAUUUAUUUGCAGUAGACUGGAGUGGAGACUAUCAUCAUCAUGUGCCUGUCUCUCUAUUAUAUCAUUUUCGUUUUUUUCGUUUUUUUUUUUAAAUUAUUAACUAAUAACUGUAUAUACACUCCAACUGUAACUACCAAUUUCACAUCUUCUCUUGCUAUGCUGUUUCCUAUUUCUUUCAUUUUGAGAUCUAUUUCUUACCUUCUACUGUUCAAUUAUUAUCAAAUUUCAUUUUUUGACUAGUAUAUAUAGAGACCUCACUCAAUAAUUCACAAAUAUAAUCAAUUCGUGCAGAAUCUUUAUUUUCUCGCAAACUAUUAUCUAAGAUUCCAUCCCCUAGCAUCUAUGAUUUUUAUCAUUAACGAUAUAAAUCUAUUACGGUCCGGUCACGCAUCAUAGCUUUAUACGUAGCAUUUUAGUAAUUUGAGUUAAUCAAAACAAUAUCUUUAUUAUUUAUAAUGUUUGAUCACGUUGCGUUUAUACAAGUGUUUAGAGUUUAAGAGAACGAAUUAUGAAACAUUAUUUUUUUACGUUUAAUGAAACGCUAGUAAAAUAACUAAUAAUUAUGAAACGUUAUAUAGUGUUUAAUGUUUUGAGUUAAUCAAAACAUUUAGUGGCGUUGCAUUUAUAUUAAUGCUUAAAGUUUGAGAGAGCGGAUUGUAAAAUAUUACUCUUUUUCCGUUUGAUGAAAUGUUAAUAAAACAACUGUCAAUUAUUUAAACAACUAAUAGCUACUAAAACCAAUGGUGAAUCCAGAAAAUUAAAUUGAUGGAGAGAAUACAUAAAAGUAUAUAAUUCAGUGAGGGCAAAAGGUAAAAAUUUAGUGGAAUAAAUAUAAAUUAAUAUAAUUAUAUACACUAAAAUGUAAAAAACCAUAAACUAAACUUUUAACUAAAAUAACUAAUUUUGUCGAAUAAGAGCUGUAUGACUAGUAAUAAUGAUUAUUUAGGAUUUGUUCGGCAAAAAUUAGCUUUUGCGUAGUUGGUAGUUAUUUUAAUAGUGUUUAGCUGUUAGCUAUUUGAGUAGUUUUUCAUGAAACGCUAAAAGUUAAAUGUUAUACGAAUUAACUUUUCAUAAAAUGCUACCUUAACCUUUAAAAGCUAGUCCAAAUACUAUAUUACCGAAUAACUUUUUUAAAUAGUAUUUAGUAUUUUGACUGGUUAUUUAAAAAGCUAUUGCCAAACACACUUUUAUAAAAUAAAAUAAAAUAAAUUGUUGAUAAGGUAGGCAGCUAAGAACUCGAAGCAACUAAUAAUUUCUUUUAGCUUAGGCUAAAAGACUGUCUAGUCAAUGUUUUACAAAGACACAAAAUUGGUAGGUCUUCCUUUCAUGUGGAUCUAUAUAUUUAUAAUGCAAUCAUAUACAGAAGAACUCUUUAGAUGCUUAAACACAUAGCUUUCUUAAUUCUUAUGACAUUCAAAAAUUAAAAAAAAAAAAGGUUUUGUAGAUGUGACGGUGGCCCCAGUAUUUGUGGCAACUGUUGCACUUAAAAAUAAACAUGGAAAAAGCAUAUAUCACUAAUUUCCAUUAAUGUAAUACAAGUCAAAUAUAAUGAUAGGUGUAAGAGAUAUUUAUCAUGAAAUAAUGAAUGGUUGAGAUUUGAAAGAGUAUAUAAAAUGUGAAUCCCAAUUGUUGAAUCAGUAGUAAAAUUUGUUAAACAAUUUGGUGAGUACAGGGAAAGGCAUCGGAACUCACAAUGAAUAAAAAAAAAAAAAGAAAUAUUAUGAUUUAUUUUUUUCACCUCAAAAUUUUCUGAAGAAAAGAUUGCCAUAUCCUCUUAUUCCAUCUAAGUUAUUUAAUCAUUUCAAUCAUUUUUCAAAUAUUUUCUCUAGUUUUCAGAAGAAAAAAAAAUGUUAUACCUCUACCACUGUACAUGAAGAUGACUCCUACUCUGUGUCCUUGAAAAUAAUAUAGGAAGACCUUUUUAACACAAGAUUAUCAAAGGUAAUUAGGUGAUAAAUAUCUCCUUACCUCAAGCUUCCCUUUGGGUGUAAUACCAACUGUGGAUACACAUAAUAUAAUCAAGUUAACCAAAACUUGAUUGAAGCCUAAUGUUUUUUUUUGGUAAACCACCCACUGUUCAGGUUCUGCAAAGGUCAAUUAUGGGAGCGACUCUCCCAACUGAAUUUUCUCCAUUUACAACAUUAGGAUUCAAUCUAGAUAUUGCUUAAGGGAUCCAGUGCCUUAUCUCAACCGGUAGUUGCUUAAAGGAUCUUGUCAAGAAAUUCCUAGCCAAUUCUACUGUAUAUUACCCUUAGAAAUGUCAACUCUUGCGACUACAAAUACAAUCUCCUUCCUGUCUUUUGUUGAAAUAUCUAUUAUUCAACCAUUGUUGACAAGAUCAUUCGACAUUUGGACUAGUUCAGUUUCAAAAUUAAAAGUAUAAAAAAAAAAAAGAAAAAAGAAAGUUGAAUUUAAGUUAUCCGACGAGGAGCUUUAUUAGGACGUAUUUGAAAGAUAAUAUAUAUAAUGUGUUUGAAUUCAUCUUCAAGAAAAAGAGAAGAUUUUUCCUUAGUGGGUUGUACUACCCUGUCCCUGAUGCGCUUUCAAAUUGUUGUAAUUACUGUCGAUAGUGCAUAGUAUAUAAAAUUCAUUAUAUAUAAUAUCGAAUGGCAAAAAAACUUAUAAUAAAAAAGUUUCAUUCAGCUUAUGAACUAAAUUUAUCAUUUUGGAUAAUAUGUAAUUUUUAGCAAGACAUUGUUAGUUUCAAACGGUGCAAUAAUAAGUGUUGCAAUAUUUAUCCAUUAGUUGCAAUAACAGAUCUAAGCUCUUCCGGACUAGAUUCUUUUGUGUUAUUGUGGCAUAUAGACCUUGAAAAGCCAAUAACACCAAACAAAAUCACUUUCAUGGCUGCUUAGUAGUCCCACACCCACCUCCAUUAUGGGCUUUAUCCUCCUAAUUCUUUAAUAAUAUUUAUCCAUUUAUCAAAAAAUUUUUUUAAAAAAAAUCCAUUCCUGAUACAGUUAAAUUUUAGAGCAUCAUAUGAUUAACCAACUAGGUUGGGGCCCAUAUAUAUAUAUAUAUAUAUAUAUAUAUGCAUUUGCACGUACCUUAGUACCUUACCUCCACAGAAACUUCUUGUUUAACCUUAUGUAUUUCUCCAAAAGGAAAAUAUUUAAGUAAUUAAUUAGUUAAUUCCAUCAUCAAUAAUGUAAUCAAAUGUCUCAUCAUUUCUAUAUCAAGUCAUUCCGCUUACAUGGCAUUAUAAAAUUAAAAUUUUUUAAACAAUAAAACUCUUUUGAAAAUUAAAUUAUAACAUAUAAAACAAUAUUAAUGAUUAAAACUAUAAUUAUCACCUUUAACAUUUUAAUCACUGUUUAAAUCUAUAACUUAUAUUUUGAAAUGUUACUCAAAUUAUUAUUAUUUUUAAAUAUUACUCAAAUUGUUCUUUAACCAAUAUUUCAAAUUAAUGGCACAGAACCUAAAGACAAAAUGUUGUUUUAACAUAUCAUUUUUCCAAUAAAUAAUAAUUGGAAAAAUGAUAUCCUCACAUUUUUUUUAUGAAACUAAUAUAAUUUUAGGGUUUGUGACUACCUUUUAAGUAUAUUUUAUCACUUGAGUUACUCUUUACGGAUAACAUAUUACAAAUAAAUAAUAAUUAUAUAUUUGGAAUAUAAAUACGUAUAGAUAUUGGAUUUAAAUUAAUAAAAGGGAUUCAUGUAUUUGUUAACUAAUCAUAGUUGCCAACUAGCAAAAUUUGGCAGCUGCCUUUGAAGGCUUAGCACAUAUUCACGUGGUGUGCCUUAAGGAUUUUUUGUUUUCUACUACUUCUCACCCCACCGUUCCUAUAUAACACUGCACUUCUCUACUCUAUUAUAAAAAAAUUAUCAGUCUUUUCUUUUCUUCACCAAAACCCACAAAAAUGGAGUCCUCCAAGAUUUCAGCUCUUCUUCUCAUUUGCAUGCUUUUCAUUUCCUCUGCUGCUCCAAUUCUUGGCUGUGGCAGUUGUGGCAAACCACGGCAUAAGCACAAAAGCCCUAAAAGACCAAAAACUGUUCCUCCAAUUGUUAAGCCUCCAAUUAAUUUGCCUCCUGUUACAGUUCCUCCAAUUGUAAAACCACCAAUCACACUCCCUCCCGUUACAGUUCCUCCAAUUGUAAAACCACCAGUGACACUCCCUCCUGUUACAGUUCCUCCAAUUGUGAAGCCACCAGUUACGCUCCCUCCUGUUACAGUCCCUCCGGUUACAGUUCCUCCAGUUUUAAAUCCACCAAAGGGAAGUGGGAAAAAACCUUGCCCAUCACCACCAGCAAAACAGGAGACUUGCCCUAUUGACACACUGAAAUUAGGGGCUUGUGUUGAUU
Molecule: long non-coding RNA, 18549 nt
Filed under: Jatropha curcas
Lineage: Eukaryota; Viridiplantae; Streptophyta; Magnoliopsida; Malpighiales; Euphorbiaceae
Description: long non-coding RNA (JCUR_LNC002304)
Source: RNAcentral